GUGCUCUCUUCAGCAGGACAUAUACUAAAAUUAGAAUGAUACAGAGAAGGUUAGCAUGACCCCCAUGCAAGGAUGACGUACAAAUUCAUGAAGCAUUUCAUAUAAAG
Cercocebus atys (sooty mangabey) is the source of this 107-nucleotide small nuclear RNA. The record is from Ensembl. NCBI's taxonomy places the organism in Eukaryota, Metazoa, Chordata, Mammalia, Primates, Cercopithecidae.